Molecule: non-coding RNA, 108 nt
Organism: Peziza echinospora
Lineage: Eukaryota; Fungi; Ascomycota; Pezizomycetes; Pezizales; Pezizaceae
Source: the annotation of a GenBank genome assembly
GCCUGGUUAGCUCAGUCGGUAGAGCGUGUGGCUUUUAAGACGUUUAGAAGAAUAUUCUUUCUGUCUGUAGAAACCUCAAAGUCACGGGUUCGAGCCCCGUAUCAGGCU